RNAcentral lists this unclassified non-coding RNA (231 nucleotides) under Hevea brasiliensis (rubber tree). Lineage: Eukaryota; Viridiplantae; Streptophyta; Magnoliopsida; Malpighiales; Euphorbiaceae. The record is from RNAcentral.
UGAAUUUAUGGACAAUUUGCUAACGCCUUUUUUUUUCCCCCCUUUUUUUGAUAUUUACUCAUUCCGUCUUACAAAGAUAAGCAUGCUUUCCUUUUUUAUCUGUCCUGAAUUAUAUGCCACAUUCUUGCUUAAAAUAGUAUUUUAUUUAUUAGCUUACUAAUAUGCCCCUAUUUAAUAUGAAUUAAAAAAGUAAAAUCUAUUAGUUUUAAGAAUAAUUUAGUAACAUGAGUU